UAUACGACCGUACCGCAAACCGACACUGGUGCGCGAGAUGAGUAUUCUAAGGCGCUUGAGAGAACUCAGGAGAAGGAACUCGGCAAAUUGACACCGUAACUUCGGAAGAAGGUGUGCCCUAUUAGUGUGUAGUGAACAACGAAGCAUGAAUGGGUUGCAAAAAAUCGGUGGCUGCGACUGUUUAUUAAAAACACAGCACUCUGCAAACACGAAAGUGGACGUAUAGGGUGUGACGCCUGCCCGGUGCUGGAAGGUUAAAUGAUGGGGUGCAAGCUCUUGAUUGAAGUCCCAGUAAACGGCUGCCGUAACAAUAACGGUCCUAAGGUAGCGAAAUUCCUUGUCGGGUAAGUUCCGACCUGCACGAAUGGCGUAACGAUGGCCACACUGUCUCCUCCUGAGACUCAGCGAAGUUGAAAUGUUUGUGAUGAUGCAAUCUCCCCGCGGAAAGACGGAAAGACCCCAUGAACCUUUACUGUAGCUUUGUAUUGGACUUUGAACAGAUCUGUGUAGGAUAGGUGGGAGGCUUUGAAGCAGGGUCGCUAGAUCUUGUGGAGCCAACGUUGAAAUACCACCCUGGUGUGUUUGAGGUUCUAACCUAGGUCCAUUAUCUGGAUCGGGGACAGUGCAUGGUAGGCAGUUUGACUGGGGCGGUCUCCUCCCAAAGCGUAACGGAGGAGUCCGAAGGUACGCUAGUUACGGUCGGACAUCGUGACGAUAGUGCAAUGGCAUAAGCGUGCUUAACUGCGAGACUGACAAGUCGAGCAGAUGCGAAAGCAGGACAUAGUGAUCCGGUGGUUCUGUAUGGAAGGGCCAUCGCUCAACGGAUAAAAGGUACUCUGGGGAUAACAGGCUGAUACCGCCCAAGAGUUCAUAUCGACGGCGGUGUUUGGCACCUCGAUGUCGGCUCAUCUCAUCCUGGGGCUGUAGCCGGUCCCAAGGGUAUGGCUGUUCGCCAUUUAAAGAGGUACGUGAGCUGGGUUUAAAACGUCGUGAGACAGUUUGGUCCCUAUCUUCCGUGGGCGCUGCAGAUUUGAGGAAGCCUGCUCCUAGUACGAGAGGACCGGAGUGGACACACCUCUGGUGUAUCGGUUGUCACGCCAGUGGCAUUGCCGAGUAGCUAAGUGUGGAAGAGAUAACCGCUGAAAGCAUCUAAGCGGGAAACUCGUUUCAAGAUGAGAUCUGCCGGGGCCUUGAGCCCCCUAAAGAGUCGUUCAAGACCAGGACGUUGAUAGGUCAGGUGUGGAAGC
This 1247-nucleotide ribosomal RNA is filed under the name metagenome. RNAcentral's name for it is "bacterial LSU rRNA". It matches the Rfam family "Bacterial large subunit ribosomal RNA", at positions 1635 to 2874 of the family's 2925-position model. The record is from RNAcentral.